Molecule: ribosomal RNA, 413 nt
Filed under: Iphiaulax sp.
Lineage: Eukaryota; Metazoa; Arthropoda; Insecta; Hymenoptera; Braconidae
Description: partial 16S ribosomal RNA
Source: RNAcentral
GUCUUUAAGAAAUUAAUUUAAAGUCCAAUCUGCCCAAUGAUUUAAUUUAAUGGCUGCAGAAUUUUAACUGUACAAAGGUAGCAUAAUAAUUUGUUUUUUAAUUAAAAACUAGAAUGAAAGAUUUAAUGAAAUAUAAUCUGUUUCAAUUAAUUUAAUUAUUAAAAUUUUUAUUUAAGUAAAAAAACUUAAAUAAAUUUUAAAGACGACAAGACCCUAUAGAAUUUAAUUUAAUUAAUUUUAAGUUAAAAUUAAUUAAAUUUAAUUGGGAGAAUUAAAAAAUUAAAUUAAUUUUUUUUAAAAAAUACAUAAUUAAAUGAUUUUAUUAUAUCUUAAUUUUUAAAUUAAAAAAAUUAAUUACCUUAGGGAUAACAGCAUAAUUUUUUUUAAAAGAUCUUAUUAAUAAAAAAGAUUAU